CCUACGGGAGGCAGCAGUGAGGCAUAUUGGUCAAUGGUCGGGAGACUGAACCAGCCAAGCCGCGUGAGGGAUGAAGGUACAGAGUAUCGUAAACCUCUUUUGUCAGGGAACAAAGGCGGGGACGUGUCCCCGGAUUAGUGUACCUGAAGAAAAAGCAUCGGCUAACUACGUGCCAGCAGCCGCGGUAAUACGGAGGAUGCGAGCGUUAUCCGGAUUUAUUGGGUUUACAGGGUGCGCAGGCGGUCUUGUAAGUCAGCGGUAAAAGCCCGGUGCUCAACCCCGGCCCGCCGUUGACACUGGCAGUCUCUAUUUGGAGAGAAGUAUGCGGAAUGCGCGGUGUAGCGGUGAAAUGCUUAGAUAUCGCGCAGAACUCCGAUUGCGAAGGCAGCAUGCCGGCUCCACACUGACGCUGAGGCACGAAAGCGUGGGUAUCGAACAGGAUUAGAUACCCCUGUAGUC
Molecule: ribosomal RNA, 459 nt
Filed under: uncultured bacterium
Lineage: Bacteria
Description: partial 16S ribosomal RNA
Rfam family: Bacterial small subunit ribosomal RNA
Source: RNAcentral